This 732-nucleotide ribosomal RNA is filed under the name Klebsiella pneumoniae. RNAcentral describes it as "partial 23S ribosomal RNA". It matches the Rfam family "Bacterial large subunit ribosomal RNA", at positions 167 to 941 of the family's 2925-position model. The record is from RNAcentral. Lineage: Bacteria; Pseudomonadati; Pseudomonadota; Gammaproteobacteria; Enterobacterales; Enterobacteriaceae.
UAGGUUAACGAGGCGAACCGGGGGAACUGAAACAUCUAAGUACCCCGAGGAAAAGAAAUCAACCGAGAUUCCCCCAGUAGCGGCGAGCGAACGGGGAGCAGCCCAGAGUCUGAAUCAGCUUGUGUGUUAGUGGAACGGUCUGGAAAGUCCGACGGUACAGGGUGAUAGUCCCGUACACCAAAAUGCACAGGUUGUGAACUCGAAGAGUAGGGCGGGACACGUGGUAUCCUGUCUGAAUAUGGGGGGACCAUCCUCCAAGGCUAAAUACUCCUGACUGACCGAUAGUGAACCAGUACCGUGAGGGAAAGGCGAAAAGAACCCCGGCGAGGGGAGUGAAAAAGAACCUGAAACCGUGUACGUACAAGCAGUGGGAGCACCUUCGGGUGUGACUGCGUACCUUUUGUAUAAUGGGUCAGCGACUUAUAUUCUGUAGCAAGGUUAACCGUAUAGGGGAGCCGCAGGGAAACCGAGUCUUAACUGGGCGUUAAGUUGCAGGGUAUAGACCCGAAACCCGGUGAUCUAGCCAUGGGCAGGUUGAAGGUUGGGUAACACUAACUGGAGGACCGAACCGACUAAUGUUGAAAAAUUAGCGGAUGACUUGUGGCUGGGGGUGAAAGGCCAAUCAAACCGGGAGAUAGCUGGUUCUCCCCGAAAGCUAUUUAGGUAGCGCCUCGUGAACUCAUCUUCGGGGGUAGAGCACUGUUUCGGCUAGGGGGUCAUCCCGACUUACCA